RNAcentral lists this unclassified non-coding RNA (200 nucleotides) under rhizosphere metagenome. Its description in RNAcentral is "partial ribosomal RNA internal transcribed spacer region". The record is from RNAcentral.
GUAGUCACCCGGGUUGCCGCAAGGCCUCUCGGGUAACCUACCACCCUUUGUUUAUUACACUUUGUUGCUUUGGCAAGCCUGCCCUCGGGCUGCUGGCUCCGGCCGGCGAGCGCUUGCCAGAGGACCUAAAACUCUUGAAUUUAAUAUUGUCUGAGUACUAUAUAAUAGUUAAAACUUUCAACAACGGAUCUCUUGGUUCU